CCUACGGGAGGCAGCAGUGGGGAAUAUUGGGCAAUGGGCGCAAGCCUGACCCAGCAACGCCGCGUGAAGGAAGAAGGCUUUCGGGUUGUAAACUUCUUUUGUCAGGGAAGAGUAGAAGACGGUACCUGACGAAUAAGCCACGGCUAACUACGUGCCAGCAGCCGCGGUAAUACGUAGGUGGCAAGCGUUGUCCGGAUUUACUGGGUGUAAAGGGCGUGUAGCCGGGUUGACAAGUCAGAUGUGAAAACCAUGGGCUCAACCUGUGGCCUGCAUUUGAAACUGGUUUUCUUGAGUACUGGAGAGGCAGACGGAAUUCCUAGUGUAGCGGUGAAAUGCGUAGAUAUUAGGAGGAACACCAGUGGCGAAGGCGGUCUGCUGGACAGCAACUGACGCUGAGGCGCGAAAGCGUGGGGAGCAAACAGGAUUAGAUACCCGUGUAGUC
RNAcentral lists this ribosomal RNA (442 nucleotides) under uncultured bacterium. RNAcentral's name for it is "partial 16S ribosomal RNA". It matches the Rfam family "Bacterial small subunit ribosomal RNA", at positions 338 to 795 of the family's 1533-position model. The record is from RNAcentral.